Molecule: ribosomal RNA, 253 nt
Filed under: uncultured bacterium
Lineage: Bacteria
Description: partial 16S ribosomal RNA
Rfam family: Bacterial small subunit ribosomal RNA
Source: RNAcentral
UACGGAGGGUGCAAGCAUUAAUCGGAUUUAUUGGGCGUAAAGGGCGCGUAGGCGGAAAGAUAAGUCAGUUGUGAAAUCCCGGGGCUCAACCCCGGAACAGCAUUUGAAACUGUCUUUCUAGAGGGUAGGCGGAGAAAACGGAAUUCCACAAGUAGCGGUGAAAUGCGUAGAUAUGUGGAAGAACACCGGUGGCGAAGGCGGUUUUCUAGCUUACUCCUGACGCUGAGGCGCGAAAGCAAGGGGAUCAAACAGG